Molecule: long non-coding RNA, 377 nt
Organism: Hyalella azteca
Lineage: Eukaryota; Metazoa; Arthropoda; Malacostraca; Amphipoda; Hyalellidae
Exons: 3
Source: RefSeq, a predicted model, not a curated record
UUCACUGGUGAUCUUAGGAAUUUGCCAGCCAAACUGAGAUAUUUUUUUUCCAAUUUUAUCCAAGAAAAUUGAGCUAGGGCUUUACAAAACAUGUUAAAUAAAUUGUGAACUUUUGAAGACUGUACCUAGCCUACCUAGAACACUGAUAAUUUUGCCUACCAGCAAAAUUGGACAUAAUUUUCCAAAAGUUUUAGAUUUCAGCAUCCAUUUAAACUAGUGUAACAUAACCAGUGACUGAGGUGAACAUUGUAAGGGAAGUGAACUUACCCACCAUGGCAGAAGCCACGCAGCCUAUCCCGAGCUCCAAGGGACGCGUCCUAGAGUGCGGCAGCAAAUUGAAGGGCAAGAGGAUCGCCGUCUUGACCAGCGGUGGUGAC